Molecule: ribosomal RNA, 146 nt
Filed under: Halorubrum hochstenium ATCC 700873
Lineage: Archaea; Methanobacteriati; Methanobacteriota; Halobacteria; Halobacteriales; Haloferacaceae
Description: partial 23S ribosomal RNA
Rfam family: Archaeal large subunit ribosomal RNA
Source: RNAcentral
GUCGUGCGUUUUGAAAAACGACCCAGGGAGUGCACUUGAUUGGCGAGUCUAACCCGCGAACCGGGGAAGGCGCAGGGAAACCGAUACGGCCGCAGCAUUGCGAGGGCCACCGUGUUCAAGCGCGGGGAGUCAAUUGGGUGCGACCC